AUUCCAGCUCCAAUAGCGUAUACUAAUGCUGUUGCUGUUAAAAAAGCUCGUAGUUCGAUAAGGAUUGAUUCUGGUUCAGAUUCAGUGCUUCGCAGCUUUGCUGCAGGUAUUCGAUGAGAUCCGCUUGGAAUUGGUUCUGCAAUGAGUGACUCGUACGGAGGAAGAGCUCUUCAUUGAGCUUGGAAUCGCUUUCGCAGCCAACAUCUGCACAAGUACAGUCGUUCGUGAUACCGUGAACAAAACAGCGUGCUCAAAGCAAGUGAUUCUGCUCGAAUGUUCAAGCAUGGAAUAUCAAGGAAUCGACCGUGAGUCUAAUCUUUGCUGGUUUCUGUAUGCGUCUUGGAGAAUUGGACCUGAGAAUAUCGUGCCGCAGUCAGUUCCUCCGGGUUCUGCUGUGGUACUAAGCUCUAGUUUACCGGUAUUAACAGGGAUGAACGGAGCAGUGUGUAUUGGCUC
This 456-nucleotide ribosomal RNA is filed under the name uncultured marine eukaryote. Its description in RNAcentral is "partial 18S ribosomal RNA". It matches the Rfam family "Eukaryotic small subunit ribosomal RNA", at positions 582 to 903 of the family's 1831-position model. The record is from RNAcentral.